Molecule: non-coding RNA, 106 nt
Organism: Podarcis lilfordi (Lilford's wall lizard)
Lineage: Eukaryota; Metazoa; Chordata; Lepidosauria; Squamata; Lacertidae
Source: the annotation of a GenBank genome assembly
CUUCCAGUAGCACCUUAGAGACCGACUAAGUUUGUUAUUGGUAUGAGUAUUGAGUAUGAGUAUUGGUAUGGUAUGACUUAGUUGGUCUCUAAGGUGCUACUGGAAG